This 301-nucleotide ribosomal RNA is filed under the name uncultured bacterium. RNAcentral's name for it is "partial 16S ribosomal RNA". It matches the Rfam family "Bacterial small subunit ribosomal RNA", at positions 509 to 807 of the family's 1533-position model. The record is from RNAcentral.
CAGUAGCCACGGUAAUACGUAGGGUGCAAGCGUUAAUCGGAAUUACUGGGCGUAAAGCGUGCGCAGGCGGUUAUAUAAGUCAGAUGUGGAAUCCCCGGGCUCAACCUGGGAACUGCAUUUGAGACUGUAUGGCUAGAGUGUGUCAGAGGGGGGUAGAACUCCACGUGUAGCAGUGAAAUGCGUAGAUAUGUGGAGGAAUACCGAUGGCGAAGGCAGCCCCCUGGGAUAACACUGACGCUCGUGCACGAAAGCGUGGGGAGCAAACAGGAUUAGAUACCCCCGUAGUCCCUGUCUCUUAUAC